AUGAAGCAAAUUGCUCAAGGUCUGGAGGUGGAUGUUUCAAGUCAGAGAAAAAAGAACCGUGGAAGAAAGCCAAAGGACAUUAAUCUAGAUCAAAUACCUACCAUUCCACUUAACAAGCGGUCUACUAUCAGGUCACUUGCUUGGCAACUCGGUUGCAGCCCUACGACACUCCACCGGAAGUUCAUGCUG
RNAcentral lists this ribosomal RNA (189 nucleotides) under Triticum aestivum (bread wheat). RNAcentral describes it as "partial small subunit ribosomal RNA". The record is from RNAcentral. Lineage: Eukaryota; Viridiplantae; Streptophyta; Magnoliopsida; Poales; Poaceae.